GAUGAACGCUGGCGGCGUGCUUAACACAUGCAAGUCGAACGAUGAAGCCCAGCUUGCUGGGUGGAUUAGUGGCGAACGGGUGAGUAACACGUGAGUAACCUGCCCUUAACUCUGGGAUAAGCCUGGGAAACUGGGUCUAAUACCGGAUAGGAGCGUCCACCGCAUGGUGGGUGUUGGAAAGAUUUAUCGGUUUUGGAUGGACUCGCGGCCUAUCAGCUUGUUGGUGAGGUAAUGGCUCACCAAGGCGACGACGGGUAGCCGGCCUGAGAGGGUGACCGGCCACACUGGGACUGAGACACGGCCCAGACUCCUACGGGAGGCAGCAGCGGGGAAUAUUGCACAAUGGGCGGAAGCCUGAUGCAGCGACGCCGCGUGAGGGAUGACGGCCUUCGGGUUGUAAACCUCUUUCAGUAGGGAAGAAGCGAAAGUGACGGUACCUGCAGAAGAAGCACCGGCUAACUACGUG
This 466-nucleotide ribosomal RNA is filed under the name uncultured bacterium. RNAcentral describes it as "partial 16S ribosomal RNA". It matches the Rfam family "Bacterial small subunit ribosomal RNA", at positions 28 to 507 of the family's 1533-position model. The record is from RNAcentral.